RNAcentral lists this ribosomal RNA (713 nucleotides) under uncultured Bacilli bacterium. RNAcentral's name for it is "bacterial SSU rRNA". It matches the Rfam family "Bacterial small subunit ribosomal RNA", at positions 60 to 732 of the family's 1533-position model. The record is from RNAcentral. Lineage: Bacteria; Bacillati; Bacillota; Bacilli.
AGUCGAACGCACUCUCGUUUAGAUUGAAGGAGCUUGCUCCUGAUUGAUAAACAUUUGAGUGAGUGGCGGACGGGUGAGUAACACGUGGGUAACCUGCCCUAAAGUGGGGGAUAACAUUUGGAAACAGAUGCUAAUACCGCAUAAAACCUAACACCGCAUGGUGUAGGGUUGAAAGAUGGUUUCGGCUAUCACUUUAGGAUGGACCCGCGGUGCAUUAGUUAGUUGGUGAGGUAAAGGCUCACCAAGACCGUGAUGCAUAGCCGACCUGAGAGGGUAAUCGGCCACACUGGGACUGAGACACGGCCCAGACUCCUACGGGAGGCAGCAGUAGGGAAUCUUCCACAAUGGACGAAAGUCUGAUGGAGCAACGCCGCGUGAGUGAAGAAGGUUUUCGGAUCGUAAAACUCUGUUGUUGGAGAAGAAUGUAUCUGAUAGUAACUGAUCAGGUAGUGACGGUAUCCAACCAGAAAGCCACGGCUAACUACGUGCCAGCAGCCGCGGUAAUACGUAGGUGGCAAGCGUUGUCCGGAUUUAUUGGGCGUAAAGCGAGCGCAGGCGGUUUCUUAAGUCUGAUGUGAAAGCCUUCGGCUCAACCGAAGAAGUGCAUCGGAAACUGGGAAACUUGAGUGCAGAAGAGGACAGUGGAACUCCAUGUGUAGCGGUGAAAUGCGUAGAUAUAUGGAAGAACACCAGUGGCGAAGGCGGCUGUCUGG